AGUCCCCAGACAGCUUUAUCUCUCAAGUACAGGGUUGCUGAGGUAACGAAGGUUGAGUCACUUCCUCCCAAUAAAAACCUGUCAACCAGAAAGAUCGGAGCGAGUGCAGGGUGUUUGCUCCAAGCAGCACGGGUGUAAGCAUCACUGAGGAAGGGACGGACCACGCAGUGAAACCUUCACUAUCUGCGCAUGGGGCAGAAGAUCGGCGGGCUCUGUGGGGGGAAGGAGGACGAUGGAGCGCCGUAUGGGAAAUCGUCAGCUGGUGGGACCAAGUAUCCCAGCGGCAAUGAUGGGAGAUCUGUAACCAAGCCUGUCCACAAGAACCCACCGCAUAAGGUGGAGUAUGGGCCCUGAGGGUAGUGGGAGCACUGAGGGUGAGUGGGGGGGCUCCUCCUCUGCCCCUCCCUCAGUGCUGCCUGACCAACAAUGAACCAACCUUUGCUUUGGGUCCAGGCUCCAUGACGACUCGUUCACAACCUCUCAGCGCAGAACCGAACUUGUCCGAAAGAUUAUUGCCUGCGGCAUGGAAACAAAAGCAAAAGCAAGGAUUAGUCUGAAAUUAAACGCGUCAGUGUAUCUGUAACUGUACCAAUAAAUGUGUGCCUUCCAUUCA
Long non-coding RNA from Leucoraja erinaceus (little skate), 613 nucleotides. RefSeq lists it as uncharacterized. Lineage: Eukaryota; Metazoa; Chordata; Chondrichthyes; Rajiformes; Rajidae. The transcript has 4 exons. The record is from RefSeq and is a predicted model, not a curated record.